GAAGGGGGCUAGCGUUGCUCGGAAUCACUGGGCGUAAAGGGCGCGUAGGCGGCGUUUUAAGUCGGGGGUGAAAGCCUGUGGCUCAACCACAGAAUGGCCUUCGAUACUGGGACGCUUGAGUCUGGUAGAGGUUGGUGGAACUGCGAGUGUAGAGGUGAAAUUCGUAGAUAUUCGCAAGAACACCGGUGGCGAAGGCGGCCAACUGGACCGGCACUGACGCUGAGGCGCGAAAGCGUGGGGAGCAAACAGGAUUAGAUACCCUGGUAGUCCACGCUGUAAACGAUGAAUGCUAGCGGUUGGGAUGCAUGCAUCUCAGUAGCGCAGCUAACGCAUUAAGCAUUCCGCCUGGGGAGUACGGUCGCAAGAUUA
Molecule: ribosomal RNA, 369 nt
Filed under: uncultured bacterium
Lineage: Bacteria
Description: bacterial SSU rRNA
Rfam family: Bacterial small subunit ribosomal RNA
Source: RNAcentral